RNAcentral lists this ribosomal RNA (253 nucleotides) under uncultured bacterium. RNAcentral describes it as "partial 16S ribosomal RNA". It matches the Rfam family "Bacterial small subunit ribosomal RNA", at positions 524 to 776 of the family's 1533-position model. The record is from RNAcentral.
UACGUAGGGUGCAAGCGUUAAUCGGAAUUACUGGGCGUAAAGCGUGCGCAGGCGGUUAUGCAAGACAGAUGUGAAAUCCCCGGGCUCAACCUGGGAAUUGCAUUGGAUACUGGCAGGCUAGAGUGCGGUAGAGGGUAGUGGAAUUCCCGGUGUAGCAGUGAAAUGCGUAGAGAUCGGGAGGAACAUCUGUGGCGAAGGCGACUACCUGGACCAGCACUGACACUGAGGCACGAAAGCGUGGGGAGCAAACAGG